This 653-nucleotide long non-coding RNA is filed under the name Malus domestica (apple). Its description in RNAcentral is "long non-coding RNA (MDOM_LNC000978)". Lineage: Eukaryota; Viridiplantae; Streptophyta; Magnoliopsida; Rosales; Rosaceae. The record is from RNAcentral.
UUUCAUAAAUCAUAUGUCGUAUAUAGUGUGCUAACUAGUGUUAUCAUAAUCGACCCGUAGGCCCCUACAUCUCCUGGCCCGUAGGCCAAUAUAUAAAUCUUUAAUCGACAUGUAUGCCCUUACAUCACCCGACCCGUAGGCCAAUAUAAGUAUAAUCGCCCGUAGGCAUAGCAGUGACCACUAGAUACGCACAAAACCAUUGAGUAUACUAUUUCCAAACAUAAGUACAUAUAUCUCAAAAUCAUCUUCAUAGCAUAUAGUCAUCCAUCAUAUAUACUAUAAAGAAGUGUGAAGAAAACAUGUUCAUAAAUAGUAUAUAGUCAUCCAUCAUAUAUACUAGAAAGAACAUUAGUUCGAUAAAAUAUGGUAUUCCAAAAUAUUCUCAGUAUAGCAUGAUGAUCAAUAAGUGUAACUCCAAUUUACUUAUAAAACAUUUCACAAAAUGUAAUCAUUAAAUCAUGCUUUUCAUGUAUGCAUUUCUACUAUUAAAAAAUGCAUUUUAGAAGGAGUCCACUCACAGAUACUCCAUCAUCGUAGAGUCGUACAAAAUAGGAAUGAGGGAAUCGCCGCUAAUUGCACCUAAGCACAUAAAGAGUACAAUUAACAAAACUAUACUCAAACGAUUGAAUUUCAGAAAACGGACGUCAUAAACG